AGCGAACGCUGGCGGCAGGCUUAACACAUGCAAGUCGAACGCCCCGCGAGGGGAGUGGCAGACGGGUGAGUAACACGUGGGAACGUACCCUUUGGUUCGGAAUAACUUGGGGAAACUCAAGCUAAUACCGGAUAAGCCCUUAUGGGGAAAGGUUUACUGCCGAAGGAUCGGCCCGCGUCUGAUUAGCUAGUUGGUGGGGUAAUGGCUCACCAAGGCGACGAUCAGUAGCUGGUCUGAGAGGAUGACCAGCCACACUGGGACUGAGACACGGCCCAGACUCCUACGGGAGGCAGCAGUGGGGAAUAUUGGACAAUGGGGGCAACCCUGAUCCAGCCAUGCCGCGUGAGUGAUGAAGGCCUUAGGGUUGUAAAGCUCUUUUACCCGGGACGAUAAUGACUGUACCGGGAGAAUAAGCCCCGGCUAACUUCGUGCCAGCAGCCGCGGUAA
RNAcentral lists this ribosomal RNA (447 nucleotides) under uncultured bacterium. RNAcentral's name for it is "partial 16S ribosomal RNA". It matches the Rfam family "Bacterial small subunit ribosomal RNA", at positions 29 to 523 of the family's 1533-position model. The record is from RNAcentral.